RNAcentral lists this ribosomal RNA (329 nucleotides) under uncultured eukaryote. Its description in RNAcentral is "partial 18S ribosomal RNA". It matches the Rfam family "Eukaryotic small subunit ribosomal RNA", at positions 1470 to 1796 of the family's 1831-position model. The record is from RNAcentral.
CCCUUAGAUGUUCUGGGCCGCACGCGCGCUACACUGAUGCAUUCAACGAGUCUAAAACCUGCUCUGAUAGGGGUGGGUAAUCUUUUGAAUGUGCAUCGUGAUUGGGAUAGAUGAUUGCAAUUUUUCAUCUUCAACGAGGAAUGCCUAGUAAACGCAAGUCAUCAGCUUGCAUUGAUUACGUCCCUGCCCUUUGUACACACCGCCCGUCGCUCCUACCGAUUGAAUGAUCCGAUGAAUAUCAUGGAUUGAGGAUGCAAGUAGGUUCGCCUAGCUUCAUCUUCGAGAAGUGAAGUAAAUCUUAUCAUUUAGAGGAAGGAGAAGUCGUAACA